GAUGAAGAACGUAGCGAAAUGCGAUACGUAAUGUGAAUUGCAGAAUUCAGUGAAUCAUCGAAUCUUUGAACGCACAUUGCGCCCGCCAGUAUUCUGGCGGGCAUGCCUGUUCGAGCGUCAUUUCAACCCUCAAGCACAGCUUGGUGUUGGGACUCGCGUUAAUUCGCGUUCCUCAAAUUGAUUGGCGGUCACGUCGAGCUUCCAUAGCGUAGUAGUAAAACCCUCGUUACUGGUAAUCGUCGCGGCCACGCCGUUAAACCCCAACUUCUGAAUGUUGACCUCGGAUCAGGUAGGAAUACCCGCUGAACUUAAGCAUAUUAAUAAGCGGAGGA
RNAcentral lists this unclassified non-coding RNA (332 nucleotides) under soil metagenome. RNAcentral describes it as "partial contains 5.8S ribosomal RNA, internal transcribed spacer 2, and large subunit ribosomal RNA". The stretch from base 1 to 120 matches the Rfam family "5.8S ribosomal RNA", at positions 35 to 154 of the family's 154-position model. The record is from RNAcentral.